This 1098-nucleotide long non-coding RNA is filed under the name Ananas comosus (pineapple). RNAcentral describes it as "long non-coding RNA (ACOM_LNC027841)". The record is from RNAcentral. Lineage: Eukaryota; Viridiplantae; Streptophyta; Magnoliopsida; Poales; Bromeliaceae.
ACGAUCGAGAAAGCUAGGGUUUCAAGGGAGGGGAGAGAUCGAGGGGAUAAAGGGGAUCGAAGGAAAGGGGCGGAGAGGAGAGGAGAGGAGAGAUAGGGGAAGCAACCGGAUCGAAGCGGCGCAAGGAAUAAUAGGCGCUAUCGAAGAGGCAGGAGGUACAGGGUGGAGACGCGUAAGGAGAUGAAGUGGUGGAUUCAAUUAAGCUAAGACUUAAGGUAAUUAUGCCACGUGGAUUCAAUUACGGGGAUUAAUAGGUUUAUAUAGAUUGUUGUGAUUAAUGAUUUGUUUAAAUACUAAUUGAGGAGUAUUAAAUAGUUAUGGCAUGGUGAUUACGCGUAAAAUUUUUUUUUUUUGGAUUACAAAUGUAAAACAUUAAAUAGUAUUGCGAAAAUUUUGUGGCCAAAAAAUAAAUAGUAAUAAUUUGUUAUAUAAUAGUAAUAAAAUCUGAAAAUUCUAAAGUAAGCAAAAUUAAAAUUGGCCACAAAUUACACAUAACUAUUUAUGUCCAAAAAUAAAUUUUGUCAUAAAAUAUAUAAUAUUAUUUGUAGCCAUAUAGAAUUUUGCCAUAAUAUGUUUUAAACCUUGUAUGGCGAAAUGUCAAAUUUCAUCAUAAAAAUAACGAUACUAAAUACAGUAUAGUUAGAGAUGCAUGCAGUUGAAAAUACAACAGUUAUAACUACAUGAAUCUUGUUUGGCUGGAUGUAGUAGAAAGCGCUGCAAGUAUAAAUAAUUUAUUUGGUUACAUGCAGUUGAGAAAUAAUUUUUAAAAUUUUAUUAUUUUAUAUAUAUGAUGGUGAGAUUACCUCCAAUAUAAAAAAAAAAAAAUUUAUUUUAAAAAUAUUGAGGAGGUAAGCAUACCUUUUAUUUAAAGUUACUCUCUCCAAUUGCUGUAGUUGGAACUACGACCAAUUUGUGCGUAGUUCGAACUGCUGCAGUUGGGCCUCCUCCUGCAGGAAUUGGAGUUAAAUACAUUAAACGAAACACGAAAUUUGCAUUUAUAUGCAGUUACAACUGCAAUGCAGCUGCAACUAUAUGCAACCAAACGGCCCCUAUAUGUAGCCGAUAUUAAAAUUUGCCACAAUAUGUAAAGGAUUAUUU